AACGAACGCUGGCGGCAUGCCUAACACAUGCAAGUCGAACGAGACCUUCGGGUCUAGUGGCGCACGGGUGCGUAACGCGUGGGAACCUGCCCUUAGGUUCGGAAUAACUUCCCGAAAGGGGUGCUAAUACCGGAUAAUGUCUUCGGACCAAAGAUUUAUCGCCUUUGGAUGGGCCUGCGUUGGAUUAGCUAGUUGGUAGGGUAAAAGCCUACCAAGGCGACGAUCCAUAGCUGGGCUGAGAGGAUGAUCAGCCACACUGGGACUGAGACACGGCCCAGACUCCUACGGGAGGCAGCAGUGGGGAAUAUUGGACAAUGGGCGAAAGCCUGAUCCAGCAAGGCCGCGUGAGUGAUGAAGGCCUUAGGGUUGUAAAGCUCUUUUACCCGGGAUGAUAAUGACAGUACCGGGAGAAUAAGCUCCGGCUAACUCCGUG
This 433-nucleotide ribosomal RNA is filed under the name uncultured bacterium. RNAcentral describes it as "partial 16S ribosomal RNA". It matches the Rfam family "Bacterial small subunit ribosomal RNA", at positions 29 to 507 of the family's 1533-position model. The record is from RNAcentral.